This 2067-nucleotide long non-coding RNA is filed under the name Bemisia tabaci. Its description in RNAcentral is "lncRNA ENSSSA1UGG006090". The record is from RNAcentral. Lineage: Eukaryota; Metazoa; Arthropoda; Insecta; Hemiptera; Aleyrodidae.
GUGCAGACACGGAGCGGCGGUGCCUAUUCGAAGAUUCUGGGACGUUUGUGCGGCGGGAUGGCGAUGGCGAACGAUAUUGGCCUACACCGGUGAACAACGCCGGCGGUGACGGAGAAUUCGACGGGAUUGGCCCUGGCGCCGACGGAAAGUUGGACGGGUAGACAGGACUCCCAUCACCUUUUAACAGAUCCUAUGGAACGGAACCCAAUGUGCAAUUCUAUUCCCUCACACAGUCGCUGAACCAUUAAAAAACCUAUUUUGGAACAUGAUCCUUGCAGCAACAGAAAUGCUGCAACAAUAAAGUUUCAAUUGAUCUUGUAGAGUAAUCUACAUCCUUGAUGUAUUGGAUCCACUCGUUAAUGAAUUGCCAUGACUCAAAAACAAGUCUACUCUAACUACCAUCCUCCAACAUAUGAGGCGUGUAACAUCAUUCUGCUGAACAUGAAAAACCACUAUCGAAGACUCUACAGCGUGAAGCCAGCUGUAGACACAUCCCCGCCAGAAUCAUACAAACUGCUGACCCGUAAGACAACUAGAUCUCUUUCCUGCCUGGAUUUAAACCUUUCAAAUCUUUCCUCCUUUAAGCUGUGCCAACGACCUGACAUCAAACAUGAAGUACAAAAUCAUGAGGUGCAAAGAAAAACGAAGUCCAUUAACAAAAGGCAUUCCUGCAUUGGUGUUGACAAAGCAGCAAACCAACAUUGCCGUGAGAGAAACAGAGUGAAACCAUCCAUCUCUAGUUGUCACGGAAAUCCUCGUACAGUUCUAAUCAAUAUGGAAAAUUCUAAAGUAUAUACUCCAAAAGAAAAAGUCUUGGACUCUGGGAAAGCAUGCUCCGAAUCUAGUCAAGACUCAGCUUACAAUGAAGGUGAGAUUGGGUCAAGUGAGCGAGGCAGCCGCACUCCUACCCCUGAAACUGUUGUGAACACUUCAUCCAAGCUUGCUUCCAACCCGGCUUUAGGAUCCUCUACCUACUGUAGAAGGACCAGAAGCUACCUUUAUCUGAAGUUCCUAGCUGAAAUCACAGAUGAAAUAUUAAAGAAAGGUGUCGUCACAAACAAAGCUCUGAAACGGAUAUUUAACCACCAUCUUGAGGCCAACAUUUACCAUUUGAAUCAGCACCGCAUGCAGCUAGAGUUAGAAACCCUCUGCAUCAAACUUGGCAUUCCAGAAGAUGACGCCCAGAAUGCAGCAGACUUCGGUGUUGGUAGCGGUGAAGGCCCAACUUGUCAACCUCUCUUCCACGACCUCCCUGGUUUUGACGACCAAAUGAACACCAAAUCAGUACUGCAGAAAGGUCUUCUCACUUCCAAAAUGGCCUGGACGCCUGAAGUUUUGGAGGCUUUUACUGUGCUCGGUGACAAUCAGAAACUCAUCAACAGUAUACAAUCGAGCGUCAAAAGUGUGGUUAAGAAUUUGCGGCAGGUCAGUUUGUCGGUUUCUGAAUCAAAAAUUAGUAGUAAAGGGUCAUCCAAUAACCAAGAUAAUAGUGAGAAAGUCAGUGGGUUAAGUUCCUCAAGGACAGAUGCAAACACGGAUCCCCAAAUUACAAGUUUGCAGAUGAGUUCAUGUGCCCUUCAAACUCUUGAUCCCCACAGAACGCCUCACUCCAGUACAUCUGGUGACAGCUGCCAAAAUUCCCGUACUUUGGAUAACAACAUUAGCAUAAAAUCCGCUAAGGAAAAUGUUAAUUUAAGUUUUACUAGGUCAGGAGUAAGCGUGCUCUCCCAAAAUACUAAUGUGCAGGAAACUUGUUUACAUUCUGUACCUCUUCGUAAUGUGAUAGAUUCUGAUUCAGUAACGGUGGAGAAAAAUGACGGUCCAAGUCUUCGAAACUCUAAUGUAAUGCCGGAAAAUGUUGAUAGCAUAAAAUCAAGUCCAAAAAGCUGUGAUCUAUCGAUGCCAUUAAAUGAAUCGGAAGGAGCUCAGGUUUCUGAGUCCAUUGAAUUGCAAAAGACUGAAGCAGCGCCCCAAAAAUCUUUGAAUAGUUUAGAGUGGAACUCCCCUCAUGCGAGGAUAGACAGCGUUACAGAGCUUGAAAAUUCCCAGGAAGCAGUUAACUUUUAA